Molecule: long non-coding RNA, 149 nt
Organism: Herpailurus yagouaroundi (jaguarundi)
Lineage: Eukaryota; Metazoa; Chordata; Mammalia; Carnivora; Felidae
Exons: 3
Source: RefSeq, a predicted model, not a curated record
GGGAGGUAUAAGGAAGAAACAUAGUAAGUUCUUUUUUAAGAAAGAAAUCUUUAGAUUCCUUCUUGAAAAAUUCUUUUAGGGGCGCCUGGGUGGCUCAGAUGGUCAUGCAUUUGACUCUUGAUUUUGGCUCAGGUCUUGAUCUUAAGGUU